UUAUGUGAGGGCAGCACAAAAACAAGCUAGGAAUCCCUACAUUAUGUAAGAAUAAUUAGGAUUUGAUAAAUUGAUUUGCUUGCUAUUAUAUGGAUUGCAACAGUUAGGGCAGAAUAAAAUAACUAGAUAUAAAAUAAAAAAUAACUAGAAUGUAUAACCAGAAUGUAGUCCCAAAGCUUGUUACCUUCAGCUUUAUUACUAAAAAGUAGACUGCAUAUUUUACCACAACCUCAAUUCCAUGUAAUUCUCCUGUAAUAUCCAAGAACAAUAUGACCUCAUAGCCAAACACACAAAAAAAACACCAAAAAACAAACAAAAAACAAAAAACUCCCCAACAAUACAAAACACUAAAUUCUGUUUCCUCUAAACUCAGCUAUUACUGGUAGCUAGAAAGAUAUUAAGCUCUAUACCUCUCACAUAGACACCUCAUCACCCAGCAACCUAAUUUAGUAAUUCAUAACAUCCUUUUUGAUCACUUUAGCAAGUCACUGAAUUUCCAUCUGACACCUUUCCAGAGCAGAAGGUGUGUGACUCCAACCCAUCUGCUAGAGCAGACAGGUCAGCUUACAGACUUCAGGGGCCCGGGAGCUGAGAGCAUGUAUAUAUUGAAGAGGGAGUACAGAACUGAGGUAGCAGAAGAGGUGAUACAAAUAUUCACAUCAAAAUGGAAACGCAGAGAGAAAAGGUUUAUUUCCUCCUGUGUUUAAGUUACAGGAUGAAACACCUACAACAAGCCAAAAGGGAAACAUAAGCUGACCUUCAGUUUGAUCCCAUGGGCUGCCAUCUCUUUCAGAUACCAAAUGUAUGUUCUGGGGUCAUGGGCCACUUACAAAGUGAACAAUUGAAAUAUUUCUGAUUAUGGGACAAAUGAGCUACUUCCUGAGUCAGGAAAGCAGAAGUUUGCGAGGCAGGACUGCCAAGCAGGCACACUGGCCCUGUGAAUUCACUGCUGCUGAGAAGUGCCAUGUGAUGGGCUCAGCCUGACUGGAGUCGAGGGCAUGUGCCUCCCUCACUGAGCAGCACCCAUGGCCACAGAGGGGUACUGAUGGCUCUGCUGUGCCCCAUUACACCCAAUCAAGGUC
Molecule: long non-coding RNA, 1082 nt
Filed under: Parus major (Great Tit)
Lineage: Eukaryota; Metazoa; Chordata; Aves; Passeriformes; Paridae
Description: lncRNA (ENSPMJG00000019387.1)
Source: RNAcentral